GACGAACGCUGGCGGCGGGCUUAACACAUGCAAGUCGAACGGAAAGGCCCUGCUUUUGUGGGGUGCUCGAGUGGCGAACGGGUGAGUAACACGUGAGUAACCUGCCCUUGACUUUGGGAUAACUUCAGGAAACUGGGGCUAAUACCGGAUAGGAGCUCCUGCUGCAUGGUGGGGGUUGGAAAGUUUCGGCGGUUGGGGAUGGACUCGCGGCUUAUCAGCUUGUUGGUGGGGUAGUGGCUUACCAAGGCUUUGACGGGUAGCCGGCCUGAGAGGGUGACCGGCCACAUUGGGACUGAGAUACGGCACAGACUCCUACGGGAGGCAGCAGUGGGGAAUAUUGCACAAUGGGCGGAAGCCUGAUGCAGCAACGCCGCGUGCGGGAUGACGGCCUUCGGGUUGUAAACCGCUUUCGCCUGUGACGAAGCGUGAGUGACGGUAAUGGGUAAAGAAGCACCGGCUAACUACGUG
RNAcentral lists this ribosomal RNA (468 nucleotides) under uncultured bacterium. Its description in RNAcentral is "partial 16S ribosomal RNA". It matches the Rfam family "Bacterial small subunit ribosomal RNA", at positions 28 to 507 of the family's 1533-position model. The record is from RNAcentral.